This is a non-coding RNA of Tauraco erythrolophus (red-crested turaco), 287 nucleotides long. NCBI's taxonomy places the organism in Eukaryota, Metazoa, Chordata, Aves, Musophagiformes, Musophagidae. The record is from Rfam.
GUGCAUGCUGGGCUAUAAUUUAUGAAACGGAGCCCAGGAAACAACCAAUCGCUUAGCUCCUCCUAACAAGUCCAACUGGCUAUGAAAAGCUGGAAGUGCUGCACAGAACAAUGAAGAGGAGCUAUCCCACAUAUUAAUCUGCUUAUCUAGGAUUGCCUUCUGUGUAGAGAGAGGGAAGCAUGUAACUGGGGAGGGGGGGGGACACACACGUGAAGAGAAAAAUCACAGCUUCGCUGUUGAAACAACAGAAUAAAUUUCAAUCAAUAGGAAAAUUUUCCAUGGAAAAU